Molecule: ribosomal RNA, 2402 nt
Filed under: Escherichia coli
Lineage: Bacteria; Pseudomonadati; Pseudomonadota; Gammaproteobacteria; Enterobacterales; Enterobacteriaceae
Description: partial 23S ribosomal RNA
Rfam family: Bacterial large subunit ribosomal RNA
Source: RNAcentral
CGGGACACGUGGUAUCCUGUCUGAAUAUGGGGGGACCAUCCUCCAAGGCUAAAUACUCCUGACUGACCGAUAGUGAACCAGUACCGUGAGGGAAAGGCGAAAAGAACCCCGGCGAGGGGAGUGAAAAAGAACCUGAAACCGUGUACGUACAAGCAGUGGGAGCACGCUUAGGCGUGUGACUGCGUACCUUUUGUAUAAUGGGUCAGCGACUUAUAUUCUGUAGCAAGGUUAACCGAAUAGGGGAGCCGAAGGGAAACCGAGUCUUAACUGGGCGUUAAGUUGCAGGGUAUAGACCCGAAACCCGGUGAUCUAGCCAUGGGCAGGUUGAAGGUUGGGUAACACUAACUGGAGGACCGAACCGACUAAUGUUGAAAAAUUAGCGGAUGACUUGUGGCUGGGGGUGAAAGGCCAAUCAAACCGGGAGAUAGCUGGUUCUCCCCGAAAGCUAUUUAGGUAGCGCCUCGUGAAUUCAUCUCCGGGGGUAGAGCACUGUUUCGGCAAGGGGGUCAUCCCGACUUACCAACCCGAUGCAAACUGCGAAUACCGGAGAAUGUUAUCACGGGAGACACACGGCGGGUGCUAACGUCCGUCGUGAAGAGGGAAACAACCCAGACCGCCAGCUAAGGUCCCAAAGUCAUGGUUAAGUGGGAAACGAUGUGGGAAGGCCCAGACAGCCAGGAUGUUGGCUUAGAAGCAGCCAUCAUUUAAAGAAAGCGUAAUAGCUCACUGGUCGAGUCGGCCUGCGCGGAAGAUGUAACGGGGCUAAACCAUGCACCGAAGCUGCGGCAGCGACGCUUAUGCGUUGUUGGGUAGGGGAGCGUUCUGUAAGCCUGUGAAGGUGUGCUGUGAGGCAUGCUGGAGGUAUCAGAAGUGCGAAUGCUGACAUAAGUAACGAUAAAGCGGGUGAAAAGCCCGCUCGCCGGAAGACCAAGGGUUCCUGUCCAACGUUAAUCGGGGCAGGGUGAGUCGACCCCUAAGGCGAGGCCGAAAGGCGUAGUCGAUGGGAAACAGGUUAAUAUUCCUGUACUUGGUGUUACUGCGAAGGGGGGACGGAGAAGGCUAUGUUGGCCGGGCGACGGUUGUCCCGGUUUAAGCGUGUAGGCUGGUUUUCCAGGCAAAUCCGGAAAAUCAAGGCUGAGGCGUGAUGACGAGGCACUACGGUGCUGAAGCAACAAAUGCCCUGCUUCCAGGAAAAGCCUCUAAGCAUCAGGUAACAUCAAAUCGUACCCCAAACCGACACAGGUGGUCAGGUAGAGAAUACCAAGGCGCUUGAGAGAACUCGGGUGAAGGAACUAGGCAAAAUGGUGCCGUAACUUCGGGAGAAGGCACGCUGAUAUGUAGGUGAAGUCCCUCGCGGAUGGAGCUGAAAUCAGUCGAAGAUACCAGCUGGCUGCAACUGUUUAUUAAAAACACAGCACUGUGCAAACACGAAAGUGGACGUAUACGGUGUGACGCCUGCCCGGUGCCGGAAGGUUAAUUGAUGGGGUCAGCGCAAGCGAAGCUCUUGAUCGAAGCCCCGGUAAACGGCGGCCGUAACUAUAACGGUCCUAAGGUAGCGAAAUUCCUUGUCGGGUAAGUUCCGACCUGCACGAAUGGCGUAAUGAUGGCCAGGCUGUCUCCACCCGAGACUCAGUGAAAUUGAACUCGCUGUGAAGAUGCAGUGUACCCGCGGCAAGACGGAAAGACCCCGUGAACCUUUACUAUAGCUUGACACUGAACAUUGAGCCUUGAUGUGUAGGAUAGGUGGGAGGCUUAGAAGUGUGGACGCCAGUCUGCAUGGAGCCGACCUUGAAAUACCACCCUUUAAUGUUUGAUGUUCUAACGUUGACCCGUAAUCCGGGUUGCGGACAGUGUCUGGUGGGUAGUUUGACUGGGGCGGUCUCCUCCUAAAGAGUAACGGAGGAGCACGAAGGUUGGCUAAUCCUGGUCGGACAUCAGGAGGUUAGUGCAAUGGCAUAAGCCAGCUUGACUGCGAGCGUGACGGCGCGAGCAGGUGCGAAAGCAGGUCAUAGUGAUCCGGUGGUUCUGAAUGGAAGGGCCAUCGCUCAACGGAUAAAAGGUACUCCGGGGAUAACAGGCUGAUACCGCCCAAGAGUUCAUAUCGACGGCGGUGUUUGGCACCUCGAUGUCGGCUCAUCACAUCCUGGGGCUGAAGUAGGUCCCAAGGGUAUGGCUGUUCGCCAUUUAAAGUGGUACGCGAGCUGGGUUUAGAACGUCGUGAGACAGUUCGGUCCCUAUCUGCCGUGGGCGCUGGAGAACUGAGGGGGGCUGCUCCUAGUACGAGAGGACCGGAGUGGACGCAUCACUGGUGUUCGGGUUGUCAUGCCAAUGGCACUGCCCGGUAGCUAAAUGCGGAAGAGAUAAGUGCUGAAAGCAUCUAAGCACGAAACUUGCCCCGAGAU